Triticum dicoccoides is the source of this 4686-nucleotide long non-coding RNA. RefSeq lists it as uncharacterized. NCBI's taxonomy places the organism in Eukaryota, Viridiplantae, Streptophyta, Magnoliopsida, Poales, Poaceae. The transcript is spliced from 3 exons. The record is from RefSeq and is a predicted model, not a curated record.
UAACUGGCCCAAUCGCCCAGCGCCCAGGCCAUCCCUGCCUGCUUCCUGUCCGCACGGUGGACGAACGAAACCAGCCGCCCCUUCUUCCCCUGACUUGACAAACCCUAGGCGACCAGGACCAGCCGUCCCUGCCCUCCCGGUCCGUUGCCCGCCCCUUCGAUCCCUUCUGCGGUCAUGCGGGCGUCAGGUUGCGCCACUGCCGCGCUGCGCGCUGCUGCUCCGUCCGGCGAGGCGUGGAGGCGGCGACUCCGGCGAGGCUUGGCGUCCGCGAGGUGCUCGAUCCCUUCUUCCUGGCGUCCGGCGAGGCGCGGUGGCGGCGACUCCGGCGAGGCUUGGCCUCCGCGAGGUGCUCGAUCCCUUCUUCCUGGCGUCCGGCGAGGUGCUGGUUUGCCAGGAGCUGAGCCGCAAUACUGAGCAGAGCAGAGAGAUCUUACAGGAAGGCAAGAUGAGUAACCGAAACAAGACAUUCAAUUCAUUUUUUCAAGUUCAUUAAGCGAUUUUAAGGUUAUCGCAAUCGCAGAUGCCUUUUGCCUUGUCCUAGACGUAAGUUCUCAAAUUUUGCAUCUAUCAUUAACUCCUUUUACCUGCUAUAUUAUGCAUUGAUUUGCAUUUCAAAAAUUAUAUUCAAGGUUUAGCAUCUUCUGCUAUUGAAGAUAUAGGCAUGGGAGGCUCAGAUCAGCCAAUCCAUUGAUUUUGUAUCAAUCUUUUGUAUCAUUUAUAUACGCUACAUAUUUCUUUUGAUUUUUCUUGCUUUAUUAGUUAACCCAUCAUGGAACAAAUAUUGCCGUUGAAUAUUAUGUUUGGUGUAUUAUCAGUUGUGCAAUAUAGAUUCACUUUCGUAUGCCUUGAAACUGGAAUUUUUUUAGGGUAGUUUUUAGCCCUUAGUUUCUCGCCCGGGGCGUCAGCCAAUCCUGGCUCCGCCACUGCAUGCAAGCAACCGAUUAAGAGGUCGAGGUUAUGUUUCAUCUACAGUAAGUAGGGUCACGAGAGCAAAACUUCUACGCAGAGGGGUGAUCUCCCAAAGGCAGCAAGGAGGCCACCCGAGGUACUCAUCUUGUGGACUAACAUGCGACAUGAAGAAUACUUGCGGCAAAUUGAUGGUUGGUUAUGAAGACCGAAAAUGGUUAUGACACAUGUGAGAUUCUUAUGAGUUGGCAUGAAGAUAGUUGAGGGAGUUUCCGUUGAGUCAGGUUAGGAUGAAAUGAAAUUUAAGUAACAAAAUGCCUUAUUUGUCGGGAUUACUGAAAAACGACAUCGGCUUAUAGUGAGCCAGGUUAGAAUCAUUUAGAGUUAAAUACACUGGAGAUGCCUCAACUUAUCCUGUGCGCGGUCAGUUUGGUGUCUAAAGUUGUAAAAUACAUGAAAUUGAUGCUCGAACUUGUCCGGUCAUGCAAAUACGGCGCCUCCUUCCGUAUCCGAACAUGUCCAGCCCGCGUGGCGUGCCAGCUUGGCGGUGACCCAUCUGUAAGUGGUUGAGAGCGGGAAAGUGCCGAGUACUCCAGGCGCGAGGACCUUUUUUAAGAAACCCCCUUAUAUUUAUUUAAUCACAUAGAAAAGACCUCAAGUAUGAGAAAUAACAUGAAAAAAAUCAUCAUGGAGGGGUUUAAAACCUGGCACCUCCUGGUCAACUACGGCUUAAUCUGUCCACUCGACCAAAAUAUGCAUCGGGUUCAUCUCUUAGCUAGAAAGCUAUGUAAACACUUUUCAUGUAUCGUUCUGUAAUUUUCUUAAUGUGUUAUCUAUCUUUUUUUUCUUCAAGUUCCUGUUAAUUUUCAUGCGACGUAAAUUUUCCCAUAUAAAAAUACAAUAUGCAACUAUUUUUUACUUUAAGAUUUUUUCUAUUUUAAUUAUUGCGUACUUUUAAGAGGUAGACAUGAACUUUUGCAAAAAAUUAUGGGGAUUAAAAUAAUUCAACCUAUAUUAGAAAUUAUUGUGUAAAUUUAUGUAUGUUCACUUCUGGACCACAAGCACACACUACUAUUGUUAAUCUUCAUUGUAUUUCUAAAAUACCUAAUUAUUAACAAAUUGACAACAUUGUAUUUUGUAACCUAUUCAACAUGCAUUAAAAAGUAUUGUGUUGACAUUUUUAAUACAAUUAUUCAAAAUGUUACAUAAUAAAUUCUUAGUACACAUUGAACUUUUCUACAUACACAUUGCCAAUUUUUUAAUUCAAGACAAACAUUUUUGAAAUACAGGUUAUAAUUUUUCAAUACAUGUGAAACAUUUUCCAAAAACAUGUUAAACAUUUUUCAAAUACACUAACACUUUCUUUAAGUUUAUUAUGGAAGUUGUAAUUUUUUCUUCCAUUUCUAUUUUUUCAACGGUAAAAAUAAUAUGAGAAAUAAUAAUAACAAGAUUGAAAAAAUGAAAGUAAAACUUGUGCAGGUCCAUAGAGGCGCCAUAUAUAAAAAAAAAUCGCUUGAAGAGGUACAUAGCAGCCAAAACGUAUUUCUGGAGCACGGCGGCCAUUGAGCAUGUUUUUAAGGCUAAAAACUAGCACUUAAAAGUUUCAAAAUGAGUUGAUUGUUUUCACACAAAAACAUAUGUAUGUGCUCUAAGUGACUUUCAACUUUCGCUCAAAAUUAUGUUAUAUUAUACCCUUCAAAAAAUGGAAAAAAAUAUGGCAAAAAAAUAAGCUGAUUUUUUUGCAUGUAUUCAUCUGUUUUAUCUCUCAUACAAGCACAUAUAUUGGUGAAAAUUCACACGGAUAUAUUACACUUCUAUGUGUGCAUGUAUAAAAAAAUUCAGAUUUUUUUUAGCUAUAAAAAUCCGUUUCUUUGAACUUAAAAAAAAUAGGACACAAUGUGCCCGUGCUCCAGAGUUACUUUUUGCAUAGCCAUGCAAUAGAUAGAGUUUGACCUCUGCAAUAUAUACUGCACCGUGUAUCAGUGGCGGAGCUAGCGUUUGAGAACAGGGUGGUCCACCCCCUUUUUUUUGAUAAGUAUAACAUGUGAACAUUCUAAAUAAUUACCAAUAUCACAUAGAAAUAUAUAAAUAUGGUCUUACACACUAAAAUUCUCAAUUAAUUCUAAGUUUUGCAUAAAGAAACCUACAUAGUACAUACUAUAUGGAUCAUAGUACAUACCUUGAGAAUUUAUUUGAGGUAGAAAUGAUGUGCAAAAUUAUGCAUCUGUUCGGUUCAUCUAAAGGAUAGCAUAGCACGGCCAAAAAAAAACCUAAGUCAGAAAUUGGGGAAUCAAAAUUGGUAAGCUGGUAAGCCCACAAGGGAAUACAUUGCACUGUUAAAAAUAUAUGAAAACAGAACCUGAAUAACACCGAUCUAAGAAAUAAACUUUAAGUGCAAGUGUCAUACCGAGUUCUGGAAGCCCAGCCACUGGAGGUGCUUCAAUUGCCUUGACUGCUCAGCCAAGAAGACCACCAAGUUCCUCACACUCCUGAUAACAGAGGGCAAUUUUAAUUCAUCCCCUCGUCGAACAACACAAACAGGGGGGGAGCAAGAUCUGCACUUACACUUGCAGGGGAGUCAGAAGGCCGGGGGCAGGGGCGCAGCCGCGCAGGACAGGGACACACGCAGCUCGCAGGGAGGCGGGAAGGAGAGGAUCCUCAUCGGGGGCUGGGCUCCGGUGGGCUAAUCGGCGACCGGCGAGGACGGCGAGCCGUCGUAAGGCACGGCUCUGGGAGGGCGUCAGGACGAGGCGGCUGUCCCCUGGCUCGAUGUGGAACGAGGGCACGGUUGCGGGCUGUGGCUGCGUUGAUCCCCGAGUCAACAGGCUGCAUGUCCAUCGGAGGCGGACCGGUGAGAGGAGGAAGUCAAGUGAUCCAAGCAGGAAGCGACCACCUGGUAGGCCUACUAGCAAUCGUGACAACGUGACAAGCCUCCAUGCAAGCAACCGAUUAAGAGGUCGAGGUUAUGUUCCAUCUGCGGUAAGCAGGGGCAGGAGAGCACGACUUCUCCGCAGAGAGGUGAUCUCCCAAAGGCAGCAAGGAAGUCACCGAGGUGCUCAUCUUGUAGACUAACACGCUGAAGAAUAUGUGCGGCAAAUUGAUGGUCGGUGAUGAAGACAGAAGAUCGUAUCUCACAUGUGAGAUUCUUAUGAGUUGGCAUGAAGAUACUUGAGGGGGGUUUCAGAUGAAUCAGGUUAGGAUGAAAUCAAAAUUAAGUAACAAAAUGCCUUAUCUGUUCGGAUUCCUGAAAAAUGAUAUCCACUUGGGGAAAGUAGUGGUUGAGCCCCACCUCGGUGCACCCACGGUGCAUCCAUGCAAGAAGACAUACCAAAACAUUUCGAAACAAUCCAAAACUUUAUGAAAAUGAUCAUCAACAAAUGUUAGAGAGGCUUGCCAAGUUUGAUGGUCAAAUGACAUCCGAGGAGAACUGUACAAAAAAUUACAAUUUUUGGUCAAACAGUGCACAUACAUGUUGACUAUUUUUGACUAAUUUUGUGUUUUUCGUAUAGAGCUCCUCGGAUGUCAUUUGACCACCAAAAUUUGCAAACCUCUAACAUUUGUUGAUGAACUUCCACAAAGUUUCAGAUUUUUUUUCAAAAUGUUUUGGUAUAUUUUCUUGCGUGGGUGCAUCAAGGGUGGGUGUAGAAAAACCACAUUUGGCGACUUCUUCCAGCUAUCUUCUUGUAAUUUUUUUGUUUAAGUGCCAUAUUUUGAUUACGUGUGGAGGUAUUGAUGUGAAAAAUUGUUCAAAUCCAAUAGUAAGAUUCUUAUGUUCUUCAA